RNAcentral lists this long non-coding RNA (1039 nucleotides) under Mastacembelus armatus (zig-zag eel). RNAcentral describes it as "lncRNA (ENSMAMG00000025437.1)". Lineage: Eukaryota; Metazoa; Chordata; Actinopteri; Synbranchiformes; Mastacembelidae. The record is from RNAcentral.
CAGAAGAUUAGGGAGUAAAAAUGUAACACUGAAGAAAGAAAGAAAUAAUCAAAGAACCUAAAAGCUUUUUCACUUUGCAAUCAUUUCCAAAAAUGUUCUAACAAUCUCAACAAAUGAGAGUUUUCAUUUUGGGAAUCAACCAAGAGACUGACUCCUGAGAAACUGAGGAAUGUGCGAAACCUGACAGUUUGCAGAGAAGAAGAAAACACGCAGAUUAAUCCUCUGAGGAGUCUCACCUGGUGUAGGAAACUUAAUCUACUGAGAAGACAUCGAGGCAUUUACAUUCACCCUGGAACAAAAGCUGAGUAAAUAAACUCACAGGGGAUCAAAGUGGGACAGGGCUGGCUGAGAGUUCACAUCGUGGUUUCCGAGGUCCCACUGAUGUGAUGUGUUGUUUUCUCAGGUCCAAUAUCAGCCCUCACAAGGUUUUAGUAAUCUGAAGGUGACCUGGAGCUGCAUCCACCCUGUGGCCCAGAUAUACCUGAGAAUUAUUUUUUAAUUCAAAGUCACAUGUGUUGCAUAAAAAAGUGCAGUAUUGAGAUUUUUCAUUAUUUUAUGAAUUAAUUCCUUCUUUUUCCUCUGCAGUUUUUUCCCCUGUUAUGUUUUUAGCUCCCUCCUGUGGCACAGCUCUAAACCUGCAGCCUCAUUUGAAACAGUCCACGACACUCUAGCAGGAAAAAUGCACCGUGAACCCACUGAAAGCAAGUUUUUAAUUUUAACUUUAAGAUUUUUUGUUUAAAUUAGUUUUCCAUUAUAAUACAUGUACAUCUGAGACUUGUUGGUUGUUUCUUUCACCAAACUGAGCUCAACGUUCAACCACCUUGUAUGAAUUGAUCCCUUUGUCAUGCACAUGGCUACAUAAUGAAUGAGCAUAUGACAUUUAGGAGUAAACAUCUUGAUCUGGAAGAAAGAAAUAUCUGGUUUUGACAGUAAACAGCCUCCACUCGAUGCACCUGACUGGCAGAGUUCGGGUUAAUUAUUAGAAAGUACAACUUGUGGUUGUAUAACAGGCUGCAGAGGAAGCAGAGCCAACAGAAAC